GUAUGUUAAAUGUAGCACUCAAUACAAUUAUCAAGCAUUUUAAUACAAAUUUAAGGAAGGAGGUUUAUGUCCAUUUUGUUUCUGUUUCAGCUUUCAAUCGAGUUUUCAAAAUCAUCCAAAACUUACCAAUAUUUUCUCUAGUUUGUUCUGCUGCAUUUUAUUUCUUUGCCUGCUGUCCAAGUCUAUACUUCUGCAGAACAAAAAAAGGGGGACAAAACUGCCUAAUGUGUUCUCGAUAGGAAAAAAAUAUCGAUGAAUAAUAUUGUACCUUAGAGAACUU
Molecule: long non-coding RNA, 280 nt
Filed under: Solanum tuberosum (potato)
Lineage: Eukaryota; Viridiplantae; Streptophyta; Magnoliopsida; Solanales; Solanaceae
Description: long non-coding RNA (STUB_LNC000986)
Source: RNAcentral